UCUGCAUUUAAUUAGCUCUCAAGCAGUCUGAUUAUCACUUAGGCCUUUUCUGAUAAAUGGCGUUAAUUCACAGCAAUAUGCUAAUUAAAUCACUUGCAUUUUGUGCAGUUGACAGAGAAAAGGGGCUGAGCCAUGAUGAUUAUAUCCAGAUGGAGAUGCCCCUUACUCACUGGAUUCAUGGAAUACCACUCGCAGGAGAUGCAGCCCCAACUCAGCUGAAGGCAGAGUCCCUGCCUCAGGGAUGUCAUCACAAUCUGGUCCGUGCUUUGUACGGUGGCAAACCCGGCAUGGGGAUGGCGGCAGCAGGCAUUUUCCCUGAGCUCCUCUGUGUCUGUUCCCACAGGAGCCUGGCAUGGGGACCACACACAGGCGCCGAGGUCAGGAGGAACGGGUCCAGAAGCAGGGGUAUGUCUGGGGGCUGAGAGGCUGCGGCAGGUGAGGUUUGACUCCGAAGGGCACUUUGGGAACGCACCUCCGCUGGCAGGGUGACGGCACUGGGUUAGAAUAGGCAUUUGUAAGCUGAGAAAAUCGAGACAAGAUGCGGAACGAAAUGCCAGUCAUUUCUGUAUCUGUGAAUUCUUAAUGUGCGGAAUAAAACGUUAGCAUGUAACA
Long non-coding RNA from Anser brachyrhynchus (Pink-footed goose), 612 nucleotides. The record is from Ensembl. Lineage: Eukaryota; Metazoa; Chordata; Aves; Anseriformes; Anatidae.